UACGUAGGGUGCGAGCGUUAAUCGGAAUUACUGGGCGUAAAGCGUGCGCAGGCGGUCUGUUAAGACCGAUGUGAAAUCCCCGGGCUCAACCUGGGAACUGCAUUUGUGACUGCAUCGCUGGAGUGCGGGCAGAGGGGGAUGGAAUUCCGCGUGUAGCAGUGAAAUGCGUAGAUAUGCGGAGGACACCGAUGGCGAAGGCAGGUCUCUGGGCAUUAACUGACGCUGAGGAGCGAAAGCAUGGGGAGCGAACAGG
Molecule: ribosomal RNA, 253 nt
Filed under: uncultured bacterium
Lineage: Bacteria
Description: partial 16S ribosomal RNA
Rfam family: Bacterial small subunit ribosomal RNA
Source: RNAcentral